This 248-nucleotide ribosomal RNA is filed under the name uncultured Gardnerella sp. RNAcentral describes it as "partial 16S ribosomal RNA". It matches the Rfam family "Bacterial small subunit ribosomal RNA", at positions 107 to 354 of the family's 1533-position model. The record is from RNAcentral. Lineage: Bacteria; Bacillati; Actinomycetota; Actinomycetes; Bifidobacteriales; Bifidobacteriaceae.
UAGAGUAAUGCGUGACCAACCUGCCCCAUGCUCCAGAAUAGCUCUUGGAAACGGGUGGUAAUGCUGGAUGCUCCAACUUGACGCAUGUCUUGUUGGGAAAGUGUUUAGUGGCAUGGGAUGGGGUCGCGUCCUAUCAGCUUGUAGGCGGGGUAAUGGCCCACCUAGGCUUCGACGGGUAGCCGGCCUGAGAGGGCGGACGGCCACAUUGGGACUGAGAUACGGCCCAGACUCCUACGGGAGGCAGCAGG